This is a long non-coding RNA of Portunus trituberculatus (swimming crab), 430 nucleotides long. RefSeq lists it as uncharacterized. The transcript has 3 exons. The record is from RefSeq and is a predicted model, not a curated record. Lineage: Eukaryota; Metazoa; Arthropoda; Malacostraca; Decapoda; Portunidae.
CACAGACACUAGCCACAGCUCUCCCAGAGCACUACCGUCUAAAGCAGACGUAAAGUCUGCAUUCACUGAUAAUGGAUACAUCUACAAAGCACAGUGAUGGAAGGGAAACAUUUAUUCACUCUUGGUAUUUUUAGUGACGAAAGCUUGUUAACGUGUGCACUAAGUAUAUUGAACGGAUUUUUUUUUUUUCAUCCGAAGCCCCGAUGCGUUAAUCUGAAGUCUGUCUUCCUUUUGUUGAAUGUAAAAGCUUUCUUUUUUAAGGUUUCGCCGGAAGACCCACAAGGCAGCAGGUGUAUCGUUACGCUGCCAAAGGAGGAAGACGGGGUUGAUGGGUGCUGCAGCUUGCCCAAGGGCGACGUGGGACUAUGCAAAAGCGUGAUAGGAUGCAAGUUACCGAUAUUACGUUUAUCUUUUUAUUAAAUUACCUGGC